GAAAUGCGAUAAGUAGUGUGAAUUGCAGAAUUCAGUGAAUCAUCGAAUCUUUGAACGCACAUUGCGCCCUUUGGUAUUCCUUAGGGCAUGCCUGUUCGAGCGUCAUUCAAACCUUCAAGCUCUGCUUGGUGUUGGGUGUCUGUCCCGCCUCUGGGCGCGGACUCGCCUCAAAUUCAUUGGCGGCCGGUACGUUGGCUUCGAGCGCAGCAGAAACGCGUUCUCGAGACUGGCGGACUGGCUCCCAGAAGCUAACCCCAUGAAUUUUGACCUCGGAUCAGGUAGGGAUACCCGCUGAACUUAA
RNAcentral lists this unclassified non-coding RNA (301 nucleotides) under uncultured Sporormiaceae. Its description in RNAcentral is "sequence contains ITS1". The stretch from base 1 to 105 matches the Rfam family "5.8S ribosomal RNA", at positions 50 to 154 of the family's 154-position model. Lineage: Eukaryota; Fungi; Ascomycota; Dothideomycetes; Pleosporales; Sporormiaceae. The record is from RNAcentral.